AUUAAUAAAGUCCGUAUUAUUUGCUUCCAAAAUGAGUAACUCUUUUUAUUGUUGAUGUUUCGAAUUAUUCUGAGAGUCAAACCGGUCAGUCGUGGUAACCAUUGAAUGAGAAGGUUUUCAUUCAUCAGUUUGUCUGUGGUUUCUCGGAUUGGAAUUUUGAUAAAUCAUUGUUCGAUCGAUCUUCAAGAUGUGAAGGAUAUUAGAAAAUCUUUCGGCAAUCAAUCUUAGGGGUAUGUAACCUACUUGAAGGUUUUAUUUCCUAAAACUGUGGUAAAUUCAAGUUAGUAAUCGUUAAUGUAAUUUUGUUACAGCUCGUCCCAAAAUGUGCAUAAUUUAGCGUCUUAGAGCCUACCUAAAAUGGCGGCUGCUAAUCUUUUCCCUUCAAUUUAACAUAACUUGCAAAACCUAAUGUAACGUCAACCACCUCUUCGUCUUGCCACGCGGUCUGCAGGCGCCGUCGUUGGUAUAGGAAAUAAUGGACACGGCAUAAACCCCGGUAAGUCAUUUAAUCGCUUCAUUGCCGUAAUUUAAAUCGCGCUGUGCCUCAGUUUAAAAUAUAAUUUUUCUAUAAAACUAAACGUGUUAAAACAUAAUUUUUUUUAACCUAGAACAUUUUCUUUGUUCUUAGGGUUUUUCCUGGACCCUGGUUUUUUUCUGGACCCUGGUUUUAUCUGGACCCUGGUUCUCCGGGACCCUGGUUCUCUAAGGCUGUGCCAUCCGGUGGCAGCGUGGUAGCGUUCUUCUUGGCAGUGUCCGUGAAGUUAAGACUUUUAUGAUAUACCUUUAGUUAAAUAUGGACCCUUUAUGCUGAACAGGUAACCUGUAAUCCCUGUGAGCAAUUGCUUACUGCUAAACAUCCCCGGAGGUUGGGGCAUAAC
This is a long non-coding RNA of Cydia pomonella (codling moth), 878 nucleotides long. RefSeq lists it as uncharacterized. The transcript is spliced from 2 exons. The record is from RefSeq and is a predicted model, not a curated record. Lineage: Eukaryota; Metazoa; Arthropoda; Insecta; Lepidoptera; Tortricidae.